Molecule: unclassified non-coding RNA, 524 nt
Filed under: Zea mays
Lineage: Eukaryota; Viridiplantae; Streptophyta; Magnoliopsida; Poales; Poaceae
Description: misc RNA Zm00001eb200340
Source: RNAcentral
GAGGCGAUGAGUACCCCUUCGAUGACGACAUCGUGAUCACCCCGGACUUGCUCCGCGGGCUCGACGACGACGACGGUACUGGUGGGUGCGUGCGCGGCGCGGCAGAAAGAACGGGAGCGGAGGCGGAGGACGAGCGGCGGCAGUCCGAGGCGGAGGUCGGUGACCGCUCACCAACGCAGCAGCCGCCGCCGCCGUCUCCCUCGUGCGCAGUGGCCGGAGAAGGAGCGGGGGGCGACGAAGACCCCUUCGACGACGACAUCGCGAUCCCCAUGGACUACCUCCUGGAGCUGCUCGACGGCGACGCGUCCUUGGACGGUGAGGCGGAGGCGGAGACCGAGACCAUCCUCACGCUUCUAAGCGCCGCCUGCGAACAAAGCGCGAAACCGAAACUCACUAACCUGGUAAAGUAAACAAAAACGACAUAAACCUCCGCUCCUUCUUUUCUUCCUCUGAGUUUCCCUCACCGGCCUAGGCCUUCCUCGCAACGGACGCAAUCGAUAAGCUAAGGUAGUGUUUGGUUGAAG